UACGUAGGGUGCGAGCGUUGUCCGGAAUUAUUGGGCGUAAAGGGCUCGUAGGCGGUUUGUCGCGUCGGGAGUGAAAACACCGGGCUUAACUCGGUGCUUGCUUCCGAUACGGGCAGACUAGAGGCAUGCAGGGGAGAACGGAAUUCCUGGUGUAGCGGUGAAAUGCGCAGAUAUCAGGAGGAACACCGGUGGCGAAGGCGGUUCCCUGGGCAUGUCCUGACGCUGAGGAGCGAAAGUGUGGGGAGCGAACAGG
Molecule: ribosomal RNA, 253 nt
Filed under: uncultured bacterium
Lineage: Bacteria
Description: partial 16S ribosomal RNA
Rfam family: Bacterial small subunit ribosomal RNA
Source: RNAcentral